Molecule: ribosomal RNA, 583 nt
Filed under: uncultured Bacteroidales bacterium
Lineage: Bacteria; Pseudomonadati; Bacteroidota; Bacteroidia; Bacteroidales
Description: bacterial SSU rRNA
Rfam family: Bacterial small subunit ribosomal RNA
Source: RNAcentral
GAAAGAAAGAUUAAUACCGGAUGGCAUACGAAUAUCGCAUGAUAUUGUUAUUAAAGAAUUUCGGUUAUCGAUGGGGAUGCGUUCCAUUAGUUUGUUGGCGGGGUAACGGGCUACCAAGACUACGAUGGAUAGGGGUUCUGAGAGGAAGGCCCCCCACAUUGGAACUGAGACACGGUCCAAACUCCUACGGGAGGCAGCAGUGAGGAAUAUUGGUCAAUGGGCGAGAGCCUGAACCAGCCAAGUAGCGUGAAGGAUGAAGGCUCUAUGGGUCGUAAACUUCUUUUAUAUGGGAAUAAAGUUUUCCACGUGUGGAAUUUUGUAUGUACCAUAUGAAUAAGGAUCGGCUAACUCCGUGCCAGCAGCCGCGGUAAUACGGAGGAUCCGAGCGUUAUCCGGAUUUAUUGGGUUUAAAGGGAGCGUAGGUGGAUUGUUAAGUCAGUUGUGAAAGUUUGCGGCUCAACCGUAAAAUUGCAGUUGAACUGGCAGCCUUGAGUACAGUAGAGGUGGGCGGAAUUCGUGGUGUAGCGGUGAAAUGCUUAGAUAUCACGAAGAACUCCGAUUGCGAAGGCAGCUCACUAGACUG